RNAcentral lists this ribosomal RNA (468 nucleotides) under uncultured bacterium. RNAcentral describes it as "partial 16S ribosomal RNA". It matches the Rfam family "Bacterial small subunit ribosomal RNA", at positions 28 to 507 of the family's 1533-position model. The record is from RNAcentral.
GACGAACGCUGGCGGCGUGCUUAACACAUGCAAGUCGAACGGAAAGGCCCUGCUUUUGUGGGGUGCUCGAGUGGCGAACAGGUGAGUAACACGUGAGUAACCUGCCCUUGACUUUGGGAUAAAUUAAGGAAACUGGGGCUAAUACAGGACAGGAGCCCCUGCUGCAUGGUGGGGGUUGGAAAGUUUCGGCGGUUGGGGAUGGACUCGCGGCUUAUCAGCUUGUUGGUGGGGUAGUGGCUUACCAAGGCUUUGACGGGUAGCCGGCCUGAGAGGGUGACCGGCCACAUUGGGACUGAGAUACGGCCCAGACGCCAACGGGAGGCAGCAGUGGGGAAUAUGACACAAUGGGCGGAAGCCUGAUGCAGCAACUCCCGGUUCGGAAUGACGUCCUUCGGGUUGAAAACCGCUUUCGCCUGUGACGAAGCGUGAGUGACGGUAAUGAGUAAAGAAGCACCGGCUAACUACGUG